GCUCGUGUAGCUCAGUGGUUAGAGCUUCGUGCUUAUAGCAACAUUCGGUUUCCGAAGUUUCUGUGCCAAAGACCUUUCAAACAGGCCUUUAAAAAGCAACGCGACCGUCGUGGGUUCAAACCCCACCUCGAGCA
This 134-nucleotide transfer RNA is filed under the name Saccharomyces cerevisiae (brewer's yeast). It matches the Rfam family "tRNA". Rfam says of the family: Transfer RNA (tRNA) molecules are approximately 80 nucleotides in length. The record is from RNAcentral. Lineage: Eukaryota; Fungi; Ascomycota; Saccharomycetes; Saccharomycetales; Saccharomycetaceae.